GUCAGAUCUCAGGGUGAGACAGACAAGCUCUUUUGUGCUCCCUGGGCUGGGAGUCAGAUGUCAUCCUUUAAAGGUCUAAACUUUCCAACAGGAUCUCAGUUUUUAAUUCCCCAGGGAAGUGGAACUCAGUAGCCUCUGGAGGCUGAGGCAGAAGGAUCCAAGUUUGAGGCCAGCUUUGGCAAUUUAGUGACAUCCAUCUCAAAAUAAAAAGGAUUGAGGAUGUGGCUCAUAAGUAAACUGCUCCUGGGUUCCAUCCCCAGUACUGGUACUGAAAAAAAAAUUCCCCAAGCCUCUUUUUUGCCAAGAGCCUCAACCACCCAGCACCUCCCACAGCUAUGGUUUUCUAUUUCCUCUUCAUGUGCUCCUUCUGGGGAGGUCCCUUACUUUCUUGUGGCUUGGAUGUGCUUUUCUUUUCCCCCUGUACUGGGAAUUGAGUCCAGGGGCAUUCUACCACUUAGGUACACCCCCCAGUCCUUUUUAUUUCUGAGACAGGGUCUCCCUAAGUUGCCCAGAUGGGGUUUGAUCUUGUGAUCCUUCUGCCUCAGCCUCCCAAGAAGUUCAGAUUAAAGGCAUGCACAACACACCUAGCUCAGCUGUUCAUCUUAAAGG
Molecule: long non-coding RNA, 609 nt
Filed under: Marmota monax (woodchuck)
Lineage: Eukaryota; Metazoa; Chordata; Mammalia; Rodentia; Sciuridae
Source: RNAcentral